AUGGCCGCGGCGACGGCAAUGGCCAUGCUGGCGGCGCUGGCGAUCCUCGCGCCGACGGCGAGGGGGCUCGACCGCGCCGAGUUCCCGCCUGGCUUCCUCUUUGGCGCCGCCACGUCUUCUUACCAGAUCGAGGGCGCGUACCUGGAGGACGGCAAGGGCCUCAGCAACUGGGAUGUCUUCACCCACACGCAGUCUAGGGAAAUCAACGAUGGACGGAACGGGGACGUGGCGGAUGACCACUACCACCGUUACAUGGAAGACGUGGAGAUCAUGCAUGAUCUGGGUGUCAACUCCUACAGGUUCUCGAUCUCAUGGGCGAGAGUCCUACCAAGAGGCCGGCUUGGAGGCGUUAAUUCGGCUGCAAUCGCUUUCUACGACCACCUGAUCGCCGCGCUCCUUCAGAAAGGGAUAGAGCCGUUCGUGACGCUGCAUCACUUCGAUCUGCCGCACGAGCUGGAGACCCGGUACGGCGGUUGGCUGGGCGCCGGAAUCAGGGAGGAGUUCGACCACUACGCGGACGUGUGCUUCAAGGCGUUCGGCGACCGGGUCAAGUUCUGGACCACGCUCAACGAGCCCAACCUCUUCACCAAGUUCGCCUACAUGCUGGGCCACUACCCGCCCAAGCACUGCUCCCCGCCGUUCGGGACCUGCAACAGCGGCAACUCUCACAGGGAGCCCUACGUCGCCGCGCAUAACAUGAUCAUGUCGCACGCCGCCGCCGUCGACAACUACAAGAGGAACUAUCAGGCAACGCAAGGCGGGUCGAUCGGGAUUGUGAUCGCCAUGAAAUGGUAUGAGCCGCUGACCAACUCCACGGAGGAUAUCAUGGCUGCAAGACGUGCGCUGUCCUUUGAGGUGGACUGGUUUCUGGAUCCGAUAUUCUUUGGCGACUAUCCCAGAGAAAUGCGUGAGAUGCUGUCAUCAAACUUACCAAAGUUCACGUCGGAGGAGAAGAGGUUACUACAGAACAAGGCGGAUUUUAUCGGGGUAAACCAUUACACGGCGAUCUACGCCAAGGAUUGCAUCUCUUCUCCAUGCGACAUUAAGACCUACGAGGGAAAUGCAAUGGUCCAAGCUGUAGGCGAAAGAGACGGCGUCGCAAUUGGAAGACCAACUGCAUUCCAUGGUUACUAUGAUGUUCCUGAAGGUAUGGAGCUGAUCGUCAGGUAUGUCAAUCAGCGAUACAAGAACACGCCUGUCUACAUUACUGAAAAUGGCUACUCGCAGCUUAGCGAUAACAGUAUGGAGGACUUGAUGAAUGACGUUGGAAGAGUGAACUACCUGCAGGGUUAUCUCACAUGUAUCUCUUCAGCAGUCAGGAAAGGAGCAAACUUGCAUGGCUACUUCGUGUGGAGCCUCAUGGACAACUUCGAGUGGGGUUUCGGUUUCACCGUGAGGUUUGGGAUUUAUCACGUGGAUUUUGAAACACAAGAGAGGACUCCAAAGAUGUCAGGGAAGUGGUAUCGAGACUUCCUCACGGGCUCUAGGCCGGUGGACCAAGCGCAGACGCUAAGAGCAGAUUCAUGA
Molecule: ribosomal RNA, 1527 nt
Filed under: Triticum aestivum (bread wheat)
Lineage: Eukaryota; Viridiplantae; Streptophyta; Magnoliopsida; Poales; Poaceae
Description: partial small subunit ribosomal RNA
Source: RNAcentral